AAGUCGUAACAAGGUUUCCGUAGGUGAACCUGCGGAAGGAUCAUUACCUUUCUGGCUAUUUAAAUAGCUUUGUCUGGGGGGCGCAGUUUCUGCAGUCUCUACUACAUCCGUGUUUUUUGCGUAACUACAUGUUUCCUCGGCGGGCUUGCAUUGCCGGUUGGAGCAAACUAAAACUCUUUGCAAUUGCAAUCAGCGUCUGAAUUAAUAUAAUUAC
This 214-nucleotide unclassified non-coding RNA is filed under the name plant metagenome. RNAcentral's name for it is "partial contains small subunit ribosomal RNA and internal transcribed spacer 1". The stretch from base 1 to 46 matches the Rfam family "Eukaryotic small subunit ribosomal RNA", at positions 1786 to 1831 of the family's 1831-position model. The record is from RNAcentral.